This 3404-nucleotide long non-coding RNA is filed under the name Sus scrofa (pig). Its description in RNAcentral is "lncRNA (ENSSSCG00000054907.1)". Lineage: Eukaryota; Metazoa; Chordata; Mammalia; Artiodactyla; Suidae. The record is from RNAcentral.
AUUUGCAGAAUAAUUCCUGCAAAACUAUGAAACAAUGCAUAAUGCAAGUGACACUAAUUUUUCCUAUUUUCUCUUUUUCAUGUAUAUUGCAGAUGUCCAUAGGAACAGUUAAUGUUGGACUUUUGAAACUAGUGAUGGGGGUAAAAGAACAAGGAAUAGAGUUUGGGAAUAACUGAUCAGCAGAUAUAUUACAAUAAAGUUAGGGAUGUGGGAUGUUGACAUGCUAAAUGAAGAGCACAAAACCUGCAGCAUCAGGUUUUACAGACAUCAUGAGAAAAGGUUGGACAUGGUAAAAUUGCAAGUCAAAAGUCUGAGUAUUUACAUGCCUCUGUUUACAAACGUGUGAACAGUGUCUUAGAAUUCUCUGGUAAUCUUCUAGCCAUCACUUGUCUUACUCUUUUAUGUAAAAAGCACAGUUAAAAUUGGUAGUAUGUUCCCUCAUUCAUAUAUAAAAUGCUUAUUGUGUGCUAAGUUCUUAAGACAUUUGGGAUACCUCAUAUAUAAAAUGCUGAUUGUGUGCUAAGUUCUUAAGGCAUUUGGGAUACCUCAGUCAACAAAGCAGAAAAGAUCCCUCUGCAAAGCAUACAUUGGAGUGGGACGUGUAGAUAGUAAGUAGAGUAAAGACGUUGUAAGUUGUUAUAUCCUCUUGAAGAAAGGAAAACCUGGGGGUAAGAGAGAGCUGUGGUAAGAGAGCUUGGGGUUUGGGUUAUAAUUUUGAUAAGGAAAGGGAGCCUUACUGAGAACGUGGGUAAAGAGCAUAGUGAAGUUGAAGGAAUUGAGGAAGUACCCCAUUGAAAUAUCUGAGAAAGAUCUCUACAGGCAAAAGGGAUAACACCAAGGCAGAAGACUGCCUGCUUAUUUCUGCUACAGCAAGAAGGCCAGUGUGCUGGAGCAAUGAAAGCAGGUUCGAUGGUUUUAGGUCAGAAAUGUAGCUGUCUGCCAGAUCUUUGUUUUUAUGUCAUUAUAAGGAUUUUAGUUUUUAUUCUCUUUUUAAAAAUUUUUGUUAUAAUUGAUUUACAAUGUUCCUUCAAUUUCUGCUGUAAAGCAAAGAGACCCAGCCAUAUAUAUAUCUAUGUGGUAUAUAUACAUACAUAUAUAUAUAUAUAUACACAUACAUACAUUAUUUUUUCCUUUCAUACUACCUUCCAUUCCAUCAUGUUCUAACCAAAGAGAAUGGACUUAGUUCCCUGUACUGUACUCUAGGACCCCAUUGUUUAGCAUUCCAAAUGUAAGAGUUUGUCUUCUAACCCUAAACUCCUUAUCCAUCCACUUCCCUCUGCUUCUCCCCACUGGCAACCACAAGUCUCCUUUCCAUGUCCUUGCUCUGUUUCUGUUUUGUAUAUAGGAUCAUUUUUGUUAUAUCUUAGAUAAAAUAGGAAACUAACAGCUCAUUGGUUCUAAAAGUAUGUUCUCCAAACCAGCAGAACCAGCAUCAUCUGGGAAAUUGUCGGAAAUAUGAAUUCUUAGGUCUCACUGGCCCAUCAGACUUUGUUUGAAUAAAAUGCUCCAAGUGAUUCAGAUAAAUAUUUAAGUUGUAGAACCAGUCCACUAGAUGAUUCUAAGCCAAAAAAAAAAAAAAUGCCAUAAUCUAACUUGAUUUUCUUUUGUCUUAAUACAUCUAUAUAUUGACCGUAAGAAGGAUGGCCACAUAAGUUAUCUCUAAAUUCAAACACUUUUGAGGGUGAAAAGGGGACUAAAAAUAAUUGAAAGUUAAAAUUUACCCACAAUAGGUUUUAAGUUGGGAUUUUCAGGGACAAACCAGAACAUAUGAAGCCAUAAGUCACUCGUUUAUUCUGUAAGAUAUUAUAGGCUCUUCUUCUAGAGAGAGAUCUAGUCACCAAGGCAGAUUUUUAUAGCUUGAAAAGAAGAGGAAGAAGAAAAGCACUGCCAAGUGUCACUUCCCAGUCUGGACCUCAUAUUCUCAUAAGCAAUACCCAGCCUGAAGUUCACAGGAAGGAUAUCUCACUUGAAAAUAUGGACAACUUACAACUUACCAUACAUAAUCUGAAAUGAUUUAAAACAAAGCUGGAGCUAGAAUGGGAUUUUUAUGGAAGCCUGACCUUUGGUCUUGUUCAUUUCAUUACCAAGUAUUUUACUGCUGACAUUUAGUCUGGGCCAAAAGUUUGUCCCUACGCAUUUUGAAGUCAUGACAUUUCAUCAUGUGGUAUUUUGCUUUUGAUUAAAGUGCUCUGGCAUUAGUUGCCUUAUAAAUUUAAUAAUAUUUAAAUUUUUUGUAUGAACAUACUCUGUUUAAAAAAUGUGGCUGCAUAAAGGUACUAUCUAAUUUGAUAUAAAAUAUUUAAAUGAGGACUCUCUCAAGAGUGAAAUGUUUUCUGUUAUCAUGGAGGGCUGAAAUGCAUUCUAAACAGGCCCUCCCACAGGUGUAAAAUAGGAAGGCAUGAAAGCAGAGCCUGUGAUCAGUGUUUAUGCCCCUUGUACUCUUGUUUCCUCCCUGUUACACGGUGGAAUGCGUCAGGUCUCAGGAGAGCUCAUUUCAACAUGGUCGAACCCUAGUGAGAAAGUGAGGUUGACAGCCUUCAGGACUGAAAUCCUUGCCUAAGGAAAAUGUAAGCUAGCUAAAAAUAUAAAGAAACACAUAACUCAAGCUUGAAAAGAGAUUGAGAAUUGAAUCAGAUGCUUCUCGAAGGCAGUCGACCGACCACCUGCAUAAAGGUCACGUGGGGAGCACAUUCAAGGUACAGAUAAUCACAGGCUUCCCACCAGACCUGCUGGAUCAGAAUCUGGGCAGGAAGCUUAGACAUGCACAUUCUUAACAGACACUCUCUGUGUUUUUGAGGCACACUAAAGUUUGUGGAGCACUGUGAUAAGGACAGUGUCCAAAAGAAUUAUUCAGGGCCACGAAAGGUGAAGUUAAAAGAACAGUUACAACAGUAAGAUAACUUUCAGUGUUUUAACUGUUUUUAGUUUGAAUGACUACAAAUUGAGGAGAAAGAGAUCUAUCAAAACCCAAAGGACUCACUGCAGCGAGUCAGAGGAAAUGUUAAAAGCUUGAGAAGCAGCCAAAUAAUUGCUGGGGGUGGGAGGCUGGUGGAGCCUGCUUGGAGAUCUCUUGGGACCAACUUCACAUUGCUAAUUUACAAUCACAUGCUGCAUCUGUCACUUUUACAAAUCAAUGAGAAUGCCCACCCUUUAAGAACACGGGGUUACUUGCAAUGGUCACCGGUGUGGGCCAUCCAGACAAGACCUUUCAGGAUGUCAGGAAAGAACCUUGGCGAUGCACAUUAACACACACACGCUCCUUCAUGUCACUUUCAAUUUACUUUAUCUUAAAUUGUCAGCAAGAAGAAUUCACGCCCAUAUUAAUAACUGGAGGUUUGUAUUUAAGCCAGGAAAAAUAAGCCCUGCUGAUAGCUCUGUAGACAGCUGGUUUGCUCUAAGUAGAG